GGGUUGGCUCAGGUUUCCAAGUGACUUGGGGAUAGGGUUGCCAGAUAAAAUACAGGGCACCCAGUCAAACUUGAAUUUCAGAUAAAGAACAAACUUUUUUUUUCAGUAUUGCAUGGGACACACUUAUACAAAAAAAAAAAAAAAAUCAUUGUGUAUCUAAAAUUCAAAUUUAACUGGGUGCCCUGUAUUUUCAUUUGCUAAAUCUGGUUCCCCUUCUCCAAGAAAAUGACAGACUUUAUGUUGCUCUUUGCCACGAUCACUUCCAAAACACAUCCUGGCCCAAGCCCUUCCAACUUGAACGUUCUCUGUAAGCCAACAAAUGUCUGUGUGAAUUCUUCCUUUGCUGAAUGUCUCAAGUCUCUUUUUUUAUUGAAAUGGUAAUGCCGGCCACACCCUUACCUGAACAGGCUGGUCUCCUUCCCCUGACUCCUCCUCUGCCCUGUUUAUUGCUCAUUUCCCCUCCCCUGCCCUUGUCUUCUGGCCCAUUUCCAAAAGGGUCACAGCCAAAAACCUGUGCAUGGUUCACCACAACCAAGUAUUAACCAAUCAACAUGAACCAGCACUCCUCCCUCCUCCUCUUCACCCCCAGCCCAGUGAUAGUCAAUGCCCCUGCCUCCCUGGCCACCGAGACGUUGGAGAGCCAAUGGGCUGUGUCCAGUGGGAACACAGGAGCUGCAAGGACGGAGCCACCUGGAACCAGGAGGGACUAUGUUUGACCAAGGCUCAGUGGACUCACCACUGUGCCCAUGAGGAUUUUUACCUUCUGGACUGGCCUUCCCCACCACGUGCUGUGGGCCAUCCCUGCAACUUGGACCUAGGGCAGAAGUCUGUCCCCCUCUAUGUGGUCAAGAUGGAUGGUAAGAGAGCUGGACAGAUGGAGGCCACAGGGAGGCCUGCAGCUCGGGACCACACACAUGCAAGCCUUGUCCUUACCAGGGCGUGUGUCUGUCCUUACCAGGGCGUGUGACCAGAAGCUGGGGUUUGACGGGGCAACCACUACCCCAGGGAGGGCUCCCUGAGAAGUGCAUGCAAAUUCUGACACCCUUCAAUUUUUCAGAAAGUUGAAGCUAACAUGGACAAACCAGGCUGAACAGCUGCUGACUGUAUACAUGCUCUUGGGAAAACUCUUACCCCGGUGCCUGCAGGGUCAGAGGGAUCCCUGCCUUGUUCUAGGACUUGGCUUCCUGGGCCUGACCAGACCACAUGGUGAGCUACUACACUCCCUAGGCCUUCCCCUCGGGGAUCCCAGGCGUCCAGACCAGGAUCCAGGUGGGCAUCGCAGCUCACCUGUUGCCCCUCCUAUCCCUCCCCUACCCUUCCCAGGUCCCAGCACUAACCCGUCUGAAGAGUGGCGGCUCUCCCUCAUUCUCUGAAUCUUACCUAGGAAAGUCUAGGGAAGGACAUCUGGCCUCUUCUUGGUCACUGAGCCUCAACUCCACACAUCUUGAGGAUCUGCUGCCCGCAGAGCCAGGCAUCCGAAACCCCACAGUCUGCCUCCGAGCCAAUGAUACCCUGGCCUUCCUGGUGACUCAUGAGCAUUACCCAGAGUAUGACCUGUGAGUGUCCAGAGACCACAGCCCCACCAUCACGGAGGCCCUAGAGAGGAAAUGCCCCUGCAUCAGCCACCACUCCCAAAGGCAACGUAUUCCCUCCUUUCUCUCUCCCCAGUAGUCAUUUCUAUUACACACUGGAGCGAUUUGACUGGGGGCGCUUCCAGGCCCUGGCUGAGGAGUCCCAGCUCUAUGAACACAGCCUUAGCCUCUUCCUGCAGCAGUUCCAGCAGCCGGGCAUUUAUGUCUUUCGUCUGAGCAGCAACCGACAUCGGAAGAUGGUUUGUCUUCGAUAAUUUUCCUCAUCUAAGACAUUAUCCCAUUAUUUCCCCUCUCUUUAAAAAAUACUGCCGCAGGCCGGGCGUGGUGGCUCACACCUGUAAUCCCAGCACUUUGGGAGGCUGAGGCAGGCAGAUCACCUGAGGUUGGGAGUUCAAGACCAGCCUGACUAACAUGGAGAAACUCCAUCUCUACUAAAAAUACAAAAUUAUCCAGGCACUGUGGCACAUGCCUGUAAUUCCAGCUACUUGGGAGGCUGAGGUAGGAGAAUCGCUUGAACCCGGGAGGUGGAGGUUGCAGUGAGCCAAGAUCGCGCCACUGCACUCCAGCCUGGGCAACAAGAGUGAAACUCUGUCUCAACAAAAAAUAAAUACUGCCUCAUAACCAGCUAAGACAGAUCUGCAGGGAAGGAGAUGCCCUGAUGUCCCUGUCAGUUUCAGGGUCCUGCAAUGUUGACAGGUGGUCCUGGGGAUGCAAGGUUCAUUCCACAGCAGCCCAGCAUGUGCUGUGUAAGGAGGGGAAGGUUGGGAGGAUGGGAACACAAGUGUGUAUUCAGGGACAUCAAUGGCAUUGAGCGGCUUACGACCUCUAGCUAUCUCUCCCAACUCUCCAGUUUGUC
Molecule: long non-coding RNA, 2448 nt
Filed under: Rhinopithecus bieti (black snub-nosed monkey)
Lineage: Eukaryota; Metazoa; Chordata; Mammalia; Primates; Cercopithecidae
Description: lncRNA (ENSRBIG00000045743.1)
Source: RNAcentral